Molecule: long non-coding RNA, 1131 nt
Organism: Alnus glutinosa
Lineage: Eukaryota; Viridiplantae; Streptophyta; Magnoliopsida; Fagales; Betulaceae
Exons: 2
Source: RefSeq, a predicted model, not a curated record
AAUCUGUAGUCAGUAGGGCAGGUCAAUUUGGAAUUUUCUUUACAGAAGACUUUGAAAUCCAAGUUGAUAGGUGGUUGUCUCAAGAGGACAAGGUUUUUUCUCACUAAUGCCAAACGCUAAAUUUAUAGAAUGAUGUCGUUCUCUUUAAUUUUUUAUUUAUUAAUUUUGUUUAAGUAAUCUCCAUAUUAACAUUACGAAGUUUAUAAGAUAAAGCAGAAAAGGCCAAGACAAGCCGUGGAUUCAACAAAUUUCUGUCAACUUUGGGAUCGAAGAGCAUCGCAUAGGUUGCACGAGAGAUGGUACGUAUAACUCAGGCAAUUAAUAAAAAAAUGUUCACGGCUCGUACGUACUCUAGUUAGAUCAUAAACUUGUACGAUAAUGUGAAUGAUAUUGCAGGAGGAAGAAACAGGAUAAACCCCGAACCGAUGCGAUAUGUUCAUGGUCACGCAUACCAAGAAAGAUAGGAACGCUGUGAAUGAAUUAGCUGGAGAAGUUAUGGUAAGUGUUAAAUACGUAUUAUUUACGUGAAUUUGGUUAUGGUAAGUAUAUCUUUAUGCAGAUUCUAUGUUCAAUUUAUCAUUUGUAUGUUUUUUUGUAGACGAAGAUAAAAUCAAUUAUCGAUAAUCAGUCGCCAGCAGAACGAGUGUGUUCAUAGGGGUCGAUUUAUUGAUCGCCUAACAAUGCGUGCGAACAAGUAUUAGGACGGGAACAUUCAAGUCGUGUUUGCGAGGUGGGGCUGGGGCCAACACCCGGUAAAUCCACCUCGUAUACCUCCGGGCAAGGAUCUAUCUUUAGUGCGCCUACUCCCAGGGAACAAGCAAUGGCUACUGAGAUGGAACGUUUGAAGAAUUUGUACGAAUCGCAAAACAUCUUGUAUCAAGCGCAACAAGAAGAGUUGGUAGCCGUCAAAUGUAUGAAGGGAAAACAACCAUUAAUGAGAAACAACCAAGAAGAGUUUAAUGAAGUGACAUGUGUAAGUACAAAUGCAGGGAACCCGUAGUUGUGAAAGAUGAUGACAAUGAAAUAGGACAAGAUGGCGCUUAAAAGGGAUAAUGCUUGAUGGCCGUAGGUUUGUGUAGUUUUGUUUCGGUUUGUGAAGUGGAUUUAGACUAUGAAUUUGGAUUGUAAUUA